Molecule: non-coding RNA, 112 nt
Organism: Acanthosepion pharaonis
Lineage: Eukaryota; Metazoa; Mollusca; Cephalopoda; Sepiida; Sepiidae
Source: the annotation of a GenBank genome assembly
UAUGGCCAUAUCGUGUUGAAACACCAGUUUUUGUACGAUCACUGAAGUUAAGCAACAUUAAACCUGGUCAGUACCUGGAUGGGUGUCCACUUGGGAAUACCAGUUGCUGUAA